UGCGUAGGGGGCAAGCGUUAUCCGGAUUUACUGGGUGUAAAGGGGGCGCAGACGGCAAUGCAAGCCAGGAGUGAAAGCCCGGGGCCCAACCCCGGGACUGCUCUUGGAACUGCAUGGCUGGAGUACAGGAGGGGCAGGCGGAAUUCCUAGUGUAGCGGUGAAAUGCGUAGAUAUUAGGAGGAACACCGGUGGCGAAGGCGGCCUGCUGGACUGUGACUGACGUUGAGGCCCGAAGGCGUGGGGAGCAAACAGG
This 253-nucleotide ribosomal RNA is filed under the name uncultured bacterium. RNAcentral's name for it is "partial 16S ribosomal RNA". It matches the Rfam family "Bacterial small subunit ribosomal RNA", at positions 524 to 776 of the family's 1533-position model. The record is from RNAcentral.